This 434-nucleotide ribosomal RNA is filed under the name uncultured Lachnospiraceae bacterium. RNAcentral's name for it is "partial 16S ribosomal RNA". It matches the Rfam family "Bacterial small subunit ribosomal RNA", at positions 341 to 792 of the family's 1533-position model. The record is from RNAcentral. Lineage: Bacteria; Bacillati; Bacillota; Clostridia; Lachnospirales; Lachnospiraceae.
ACGGGAGGCAGCAGUGGGGAAUAUUGCACAAUGGGGGAAACCCUGAUGCAGCAACGCCGCGUGAGUGAAGAAGUAUUUCGGUAUGUAAAGCUCUAUCAGCAGGGAAGAAAAUGACGGUACCUGACUAAGAAGCCCCGGCUAACUACGUGCCGGCAGCCGCGGUAAUACGUAGGGGGCAAGCGUUAUCCGGAUUUACUGGGUGUAAAGGGUGCGUAGACGGUUUGGCAAGUCAGAAGUGAAAUCCCGGGGCUUAACUCCGGUGCUGCUUUUGAAACUGUCAGACUAGAGUGCUGGAGGGGCAAGCGGAAUUCCUGGUGUAGCGGUGAAAUGCGUAGAUAUCAGGAGGAACACCGGUGGCGAAGGCGGCUUGCUGGACGGCAACUGACGCUGAGACACGAAAGUGUGGGGAGCAAACAGGAUUAGAUACCCUGGUA